UACGUAGGAGGCAAGCGUUGUCCGGAAUUACUGGGCGUAAAGCGCGUGUAGGCGGUCUGAAUAGUCUGCUGUGAAAGCGCCUGGCUUAACCGGGCGUGGUCGGCGGAAACUCUCAGACUGGAGGCCGGUAGAGGGGGGUGGAAUUCCCGGUGUAGUGGUGAAAUGCGUAGAGAUCGGGAGGAACACCUGUGGCGAAGGCGGCCUGCUGGGCCGCGGCUGACGCUGAGACGCGAAGGCUAGGGGAGCGAACGGG
RNAcentral lists this ribosomal RNA (253 nucleotides) under uncultured bacterium. RNAcentral's name for it is "partial 16S ribosomal RNA". It matches the Rfam family "Bacterial small subunit ribosomal RNA", at positions 524 to 776 of the family's 1533-position model. The record is from RNAcentral.